This is a non-coding RNA of Powellomyces hirtus, 85 nucleotides long. NCBI's taxonomy places the organism in Eukaryota, Fungi, Chytridiomycota, Chytridiomycetes, Spizellomycetales, Powellomycetaceae. The record is from the annotation of a GenBank genome assembly.
GCCCUCGUGGCGUAAUGGCAGCGCAUCCCCCUCCUAUAAAAGGGAUGAAAGGGGAAGGUUGCAGGUUCAACCCCUGCCGGGGGUG